This 382-nucleotide long non-coding RNA is filed under the name Dromaius novaehollandiae (emu). RNAcentral's name for it is "lncRNA (ENSDNVG00000017355.1)". The record is from RNAcentral. Lineage: Eukaryota; Metazoa; Chordata; Aves; Casuariiformes; Dromaiidae.
GAGUCACACAGCCACAAGUUCCAAUGGUACAAUGUGGAUUUGUCUGUGGUAGAAAGAAAAACAUCACAGUUAAGAAAAUGUAACUAUUUGAAUCUACAAUUUAAAUCCAGGGGAUGCAACCAACACUGUAUUGCCAUAGAACUUGACUUCAGUACUGUUAAAACUCUGAGGAGAGCAGAUGGCCUGGACAUUAAUGUCUCUCCUGGUCUUCAGGCUUGUCAGUGUCUGCUUUGAGCUUUAGACCAUCACUGUGGCUCUUAGAAACACGGCUAUUAAAGGUAAACAGAGCCCAUUUUUCAUUAAUGUAAAAAACAACAAGAGUAGAAAACGGCUUCCUUCUACUUAGUGCAAUGAGGAAAGACAAAACCUGUGGAACAACUCU